This 498-nucleotide ribosomal RNA is filed under the name uncultured bacterium. RNAcentral's name for it is "bacterial SSU rRNA". It matches the Rfam family "Bacterial small subunit ribosomal RNA", at positions 29 to 516 of the family's 1533-position model. The record is from RNAcentral.
AACAAACGCUGGCGGCGUGUCUUAAGCAUGCAAGUUGAGCGGCAAGGAGGAGAGAUCCUCCCUAGAGCGGCGGACUGGUGAGUAACGCGUGGGUAAUCUAUCGUAGGCAUGGGGAUAGUCACUAGAAAUAGUGGGUAAUACCGAAUACGUUCCAUGAGGGGAGUAUUCAUGGAAGAAAGGGUGCUACGGCACUGGCCUUAGGUGAGCUCGCGUCCCAUUAGCUAGUUGGUGAGGUAAAGGCCCACCAAGGCGAUGAUGGGUAGCCGGCCUGAGAGGGUGUACGGCCACACUGGGACUGAGAUACGGCCCAGACUCCUACGGGAGGCAGCAGCUAAGAAUUAUUCCGCAAUGGACGAAAGUCUGACGGAGCGACGCCGCGUGGAUGAAGAAGGCCGAAAGGUUGUAAAGUUCUUUUGCUAGGGGAAAUAAGUGAGGGAGGAAUGCCCUCAUGAUGACAAGGACUAGCGAAUAAGCCCCGGCAACUACGUGCCAGCACGG